GCGUUUGUUUUAGGAUAAUUGCCUUCCAAGCAAUAAACCUUGGUUCGACUCCCGGCAAACGCA
This 63-nucleotide transfer RNA is filed under the name Ipomoea nil (Japanese morning glory). It matches the Rfam family "tRNA". From Rfam's summary of the family: Transfer RNA (tRNA) molecules are approximately 80 nucleotides in length. Their secondary structure includes four short double-helical elements and three loops (D, anti-codon, and T loops). Further hydrogen bonds mediate the characteristic L-shaped molecular structure. tRNAs have two regions of fundamental functional importance: the anti-codon, which is responsible for specific mRNA codon recognition, and the 3' end, to which the tRNAs corresponding amino acid is attached (by aminoacyl-tRNA synthetases). tRNAs cope with the degeneracy of the genetic code in two manners: having more than one tRNA (with a specific anti-codon) for a particular amino acid; and 'wobble' base-pairing, i.e. permitting non-standard base-pairing at the 3rd anti-codon position. The record is from Rfam by way of RNAcentral. Lineage: Eukaryota; Viridiplantae; Streptophyta; Magnoliopsida; Solanales; Convolvulaceae.